Pezoporus occidentalis (night parrot) is the source of this 1662-nucleotide long non-coding RNA. RefSeq lists it as uncharacterized. Lineage: Eukaryota; Metazoa; Chordata; Aves; Psittaciformes; Psittacidae. The transcript has 2 exons. The record is from RefSeq and is a predicted model, not a curated record.
AUUCCUGCAACUAGUUGCCUCAACCAGGAGAGAUUAUGAAAACAUGAAGUUAACUUUUUCCAUAUUUCUUCAAACCCCCAGGAGGUAUCAUCCUUGGCCAUUUCAUUAAAUAUUUUGUUUCCAAAUUUCCUCCAGAUCUGUUUCAAUUCUGCCACUUUGAUCGACGUAGGAACAGCAACUUUAACUGAUUAUGGAACAAACCCCUCCUUGUGAAGCCAAUAACAUAUCUAGAGCCAUUUGGCUUUGUAAUGCCACUGGUUUUAUUUUCUAUUUCCUCUAUGGCUGCUGAGAUAUUUACGAUUGCUUUCUCUAAUUCACUUACUCCCAGAGAUGGAAUUAGCCAUCUCACAAAACUAUGAAAUGCGGUGUUCCAUUCAGCAAUAGGGUUAAGUCCUUGCUUAAUCAGUUUAGCAAAAGUUCUAUCCCAGGUUCCAGAAGGAUAUAUGUCAAUAAUAGUAAGAUUGGGUAUCAUAGCACCUAAAGUUCAUACCCCUUUCCAUUUGGGGGGUAGGGUCUUAUAAGCAUUUUCUCCACAUAAUCAAUACCAUCCUUUCCCUUCAGGAACAGGCCACCACUGAACCAUUAUACCAUCUAUAUUAAUAGUGUGAUUGCAAUCUGAAUAGUGACCUACACCUGUGGCAUUUAAACAAACAAUCUCAUACUCUGGUUCCUGGUGUAAUGCAUUUUUUUAUACAGGUAUAAUAUUCUUUAAUUGGAUUAGGAUUAACUAUCCCAAAUUUUAACCUUUCCCUUGGAUAUAGGUUGCCAGUGUUCACCCAGAAAUUAGUCCAUGAGAUAGUGUUGGGAAUUGGAAUGCCAGGUAGGUCUGGAUUUUCUCCUGAUUUAGGCAACUGUGCACACACCCAACAGUCACUAUGAUUAAAAACCUUAGUAACAUUCUGCAUUAAUUUCAGGUUUAAGUUUUGGUCCCAAGCUUGUACACCAGUUAUCAUAUAAAUCCUAAUUAUGACCAAUGCAAUUUCAUACUUAAGGGUCCUAAAGGUUCGAUCCACCAUGCCUUCUCUGGUUCUGGUGCUUGCUUUAUUCUUGGAUAAUGUAUCGAAGCAGGUUGUUCCUUUACCUUCACUGAUGUAAAGGUGGUCAGUAAUAUCUGGUACGGUCUGCUCCACUUCUCCUCUAGAGGCUCUCCUGAAAAAUUCUUAACAUAAACCUAGUCUCCAGAUCUAAAAGGGUGAAUCGGAUAAUCCAAGCUUCUUGCUCUUGUCCCUAAUAUUCUCUUAUUUAUUUCUUCUUAUUGUUUUCCCAGAUUGACCAGAAACUCUCAGAGAUAGCCUUCUCCCACUUCCAGAAGACUUUCUCCUUUAAACUGGAACUGAUAUGGUCUUCCAUAUAAAAUUUUACAUGGCCUAGUCUCUUUCGACUGAGGUUUAGUUUGAAUUCUUAAUAGAGCCAGUGGUAAGGCUUGGUACCAAUAUAAAUUCGCUUCCUGACAUAUUUUACUAAUCUGUUGUUUGAUCAGAUGGUUCAUCUUUUGUACUUGCCCACUGGCCUGAGGCCUGUAUGGAACACAUAGUUGCUAAUCAAUUUCUAAUUUUUUGCUAAUUUCUUGUAACAAUUUUGCACUAAAGUGUGAGCCUCAGUCGGAAGAAAUUGCCACUGGUACUCCAAAACAAGGUAUUGUAUCAUUUAAUAAUGUUUUAA